UGAGGUGUGGCUCAGUUCCAGAGUGCUUGCCUAGCAAGUGUGAUGCACUGGGUUCGAUUCUCAGCACCACAU
This is a non-coding RNA of Ictidomys tridecemlineatus (thirteen-lined ground squirrel), 72 nucleotides long. The record is from Rfam. NCBI's taxonomy places the organism in Eukaryota, Metazoa, Chordata, Mammalia, Rodentia, Sciuridae.